GAUGAACGCUAGCGACAGGCCUAACACAUGCAAGUCGAGGGGCAGCACAAGGAGCAAUCUGAGGUGGCGACCGGCGCACGGGUGAGUAACACGUAUGCAACCUACCUGUAAGAGGGGAAUAACCCGUUGAAAAACGGACUAAUACCGCAUAACACUGUAGAACCGCAUGGUUUGACAGUUAAACAUUUAUGGCUUACAGAUGGGCAUGCGCAUGAUUAGCUAGUUGGUGAGGUAACGGCUCACCAAGGCAACGAUCAUUAGGGGUUCUGAGAGGAAGGUCCCCCACACUGGUACUGAGACACGGACCAGACUCCUACGGGAGGCAGCAGUGAGGAAUAUUGGUCAAUGGGCGAGAGCCUGAACCAGCCAAGUCGCGUGAAGGAUGAAGGUUUUAUGAAUUGUAAACUUCUUUUGCAGGGGAAUAAAGUGUCCGACGUGUCGGAUUUUGUAUGUACUCUGCGAAUAAGGAUCGGCUAACUCCGUGCCAGCAGCCG
This 494-nucleotide ribosomal RNA is filed under the name uncultured bacterium. RNAcentral's name for it is "bacterial SSU rRNA". It matches the Rfam family "Bacterial small subunit ribosomal RNA", at positions 28 to 517 of the family's 1533-position model. The record is from RNAcentral.